GAUGAACGCUGGCGGCGUGCCUAAUACAUGCAAGUCGAGCGAACUUACGAGUAGCUUGCUCCUCUGACGUUAGCGGCGUACGGGUGAGUAACACGUGGAUAACCUACCUAUAAGACUGGGAUAACUUCGGGAAACCGGAGCUAAUACCUGAUAAUAUUUUGAACCGCAUGGUUCAAUAAUUCAAGACGGUUUUGCUGUCCCUUAUAGAUGUAUCCGCGCCGCAUUAGCUAGUUGGUAAGGUAACGGCUUACUUUGGCAAGGAUGCGUAGCCGACCUGGGAGGGUGAGCGGCAACACUGGAACUGGGACAGGGACAAGAAUCCUAAGGGAGGGAGAAGUAGGGAAGAUUAAGAAAUGGGAGAAAGCCUGACGGAGCAACGGCGAGCGAGUGAUGAAGGUGUUCGGAUCGUAAAACGCAGUUAUUAGGGAAAAAGAAAUAAGUAAGUAACUAUGCAAGUAGUGAAGGUAACUAAACAGAAAGGCACGGCUAAAUACGUG
This 497-nucleotide ribosomal RNA is filed under the name uncultured bacterium. RNAcentral's name for it is "partial 16S ribosomal RNA". It matches the Rfam family "Bacterial small subunit ribosomal RNA", at positions 28 to 507 of the family's 1533-position model. The record is from RNAcentral.